AGAUUGUGCAGUUUGAGCUACCUG
This 24-nucleotide non-coding RNA is filed under the name Arabidopsis thaliana (thale cress). Lineage: Eukaryota; Viridiplantae; Streptophyta; Magnoliopsida; Brassicales; Brassicaceae. The record is from RNAcentral.